This 240-nucleotide long non-coding RNA is filed under the name Mytilus galloprovincialis (Mediterranean mussel). The record is from RNAcentral. Lineage: Eukaryota; Metazoa; Mollusca; Bivalvia; Mytilida; Mytilidae.
AAAAUAAAAUUUCUUCAAACAUUUUUUUGAGAGGAUUAAUAUUCAACAGCAUAGUGAAUUGCUCAAAGGCAAAAAAAAUAUUUUAAGUCUCAUUAGACCACAUUCAUUCUGUUUCAGAAACCUAUGCUGUGUCAACUAUUUAAUCACAAUCCAAAUUUAGAGCUGAAUCCAGCUUGAAUGUUGUGUCCAUACUUGCCCCAACCGUUCAGGUUUCAACCUCUGCGGUCGUAUAAAGCUGCG